UCCUACGGGAGGCAGCAGUGGGGAAUAUUGGACAAUGGGGGAAACCCUGAUCCAGCGACGCCGCGUGAGUGAAGAAGUGUUUCGGCAUGUAAAGCUCUAUCAGCAGGGAAGAAAAUGACGGUACCUGACUAAGAAGCCCCGGCUAACUACGUGCCAGCAGCCGCGGUAA
This 169-nucleotide ribosomal RNA is filed under the name uncultured Clostridium sp. RNAcentral's name for it is "partial 16S ribosomal RNA". It matches the Rfam family "Bacterial small subunit ribosomal RNA", at positions 337 to 523 of the family's 1533-position model. Lineage: Bacteria; Bacillati; Bacillota; Clostridia; Eubacteriales; Clostridiaceae. The record is from RNAcentral.